This is a non-coding RNA of Ictidomys tridecemlineatus (thirteen-lined ground squirrel), 477 nucleotides long. NCBI's taxonomy places the organism in Eukaryota, Metazoa, Chordata, Mammalia, Rodentia, Sciuridae. The record is from RefSeq and is a predicted model, not a curated record.
GAGCUCUGAGGCCCCGCGCGUAGGCGCCCGUGCUUCUCGCCACUGUUUAACCGGUCUCCGGAAAGCCUCGUCCAGCUCCAACACAGCCACGAAAGGGAGUCCAGAAUCAACCGCUGCUGCCUGAGGUCAACGUGCCCUCAUCUGUGUGGUCCCCGGGUCUUUCCCCGGAGUCGGACCUGGGCAGGUGGCCCACGUCCAGCUGAGUCUCCCAGGGCCGCGUCCCCCAGCUGUGCCACCCCUGGAGCCCGGCAUCCCCGGAAAAGGCCCCUCCUCUUCUCCACUUGAGAUGAAAAUACGAGUUCUCCGAUGGCGUUGGACCGCGGCCGGCCACGUCCGAGCUGCUUGCAAAGGAGAACCAUCGGAAAUAAUGAAUAGCCGCUCCAUGCAAAUUAUCCAGACAGUUUAGCGUCCGUUGCCGGGAGAGAUAUAUAAAGAACACGAGUCAAAUGACAUUAAUAAUUGUUUUUGAAUUCUGUA